Long non-coding RNA from Suricata suricatta (meerkat), 687 nucleotides. RefSeq lists it as uncharacterized. The transcript has 5 exons. The record is from RefSeq and is a predicted model, not a curated record. NCBI's taxonomy places the organism in Eukaryota, Metazoa, Chordata, Mammalia, Carnivora, Herpestidae.
AGACUGGGCUCAAAGAGGCCAUCUUAAUUGCCCAAACUCACUCAGCUAAAAUUUGUAAGCUGAAACAAACCCGGUUCUCCCAAUGGCAGCUCUUCUUCCUACACUUGACUCUGAAAAGGCCGACGAUGAGUUCCAACACCACCUAUACACAGAUAAUACCCAGAAUUACAUCUCCAGCAGUGAACACUCCUCUGAGCGACUACAUUCAAGGAGCCAUCUUGAAGAGACCAGAACUCCAACUUUAAGGUUCUCUGCUCCAGCUGUCCUCUGUAAUACUCGUAGCCCCACAAAGAACUGGGAGCAUGUAGGAAAGUAUAGAGAAGCUCAAGAGAACACCAGCAUUAUAUCCUGCCACCCAUCCCAUAAUGGACUCUUUUAAAAGAAUGAAAACCACACCGGCAGGGUGCCUGGCUGAGCACCUGGAAAUCCCACCCCUGAGCUCACCUGGCUGCCUCGUUCUCCCAUUCCACAGGAAACACAUUUGCAAAUAUUCUGGUUACAGAGAGCUGCAUCUAUGGGUGGUGAUCCAAGCCUGGGGAUUCCGUGGAAAAGAGGACGCAGGAGAUGGUAAGGAAGUAUGGAUGCCCUCAGAGAAGGGAUCUGAUGAUAAGCUGUGGGGACUCUCCUGUAAACAACUCUCCCGGGCACUUUUCUGCAGCUAGAAAAUAAAUUUCUAUCUUACAGUUA